GACAGAGGUUGCAAACGUUGUUCGGAAUUACUGGGCGUAAAGGGCUCGUAGGCGGCCAACUAAGUCAUACGUGAAAUCCCUCAGCUUAACUGGGGAACUGCGUGUGAUACUGGAUGGCUUGGAUUUGGGAGAGGGAUGCGGAAUUCCAGGUGUAGCGGUGAAAUGCGUAGAUAUCUGGAGGAACACCGGUGGCGAAGGCGGCAUCCUGGACCAAUAUUGACGCUGAGGAGCGAAAGCCAGGGGAGCAAACGGG
This 253-nucleotide ribosomal RNA is filed under the name uncultured bacterium. Its description in RNAcentral is "partial 16S ribosomal RNA". It matches the Rfam family "Bacterial small subunit ribosomal RNA", at positions 524 to 776 of the family's 1533-position model. The record is from RNAcentral.